UUCAAGUGCAUCAUACAAUGUGAAUCUGUUGAAUCGUGUAUUUUCAGGCAAAACUCCAACGUAUCGAAUCUGCUGCGAGACUCUUGGUCGCAUUGGUUCCGGACUGGGCUAAACAAUGGACGAGAAAUAAGAUAUAAAAGGAUGAGAAGAAGAUUCGAAUCCCACAAAAAGUGUGGUUGUGAACUUACGAAGCUGUGCUUUCUGUGGAUCGACAUGUUGCGCCAGCUCUUGAUCAAGCAAAUAAAACCGGCACAGGAACACUAAGAGCAGCACCUCUCUUCGACAAGAUUAAACACUGGUGUCAUUUUUCUACAAAGAACGACCAAACACACACUGAACAUUCACAUUAUCCAUUCUGAAUAAAGGGAUAUUGACAUUCCAACACAUAACACGUCAUUUUUGUUAUGGCGGCAAACGCCGACAUACGAGGAAUGGCUCUCGUUUUCUCCCUUUGUUGGCUUCAAUCAUGUAAAGAGCCGCACUUGGAAUAAGCAAAAGUAUACAGACACAAUUUUAGCAGCUCCAUUCCACACGAAACUCUCCAGAGAUGAUCUAGAAGCAAUCUUUUUCUUCAUCAUAAUCAUCAUCAUCACCACCACUACUGCCGUCUCCACCACCAACACCACCAGUCCAUCCAUCAGCUAUCAGUUGCUCAGCUUCGGCCACCAGAGGAGGUAAAGCCGUCGAGUAACGAGCGAGAACGAGUAAUAUUCUCAGUUCACGGCAGUGCUCUUGCUCGUUUCUUUGCUUCCUAUUCACUGCCUUGGAGGGUUCGUUGGGCUGUGUCGGUUCUUCAAGUGUCUCUCCCCAGUCAGUCCAACUUGGGACCCACAAAGUAGAAGAGGGAACUAGCACAGAACAGAGCACCACAAGCGUUCCAUAGGUGGAUGGAGGGUACAGCUAAUAGUGGAAGUUCAAUUCUCAACAGCUGCCAUGGCUGCUACUGAGACCACAACCAAAAGCACCAUCAUGGACUCACAUGGGGCGUCGGGCGGGUGCUUCCUUCAGAGGAAACAUUCUGGCCAGGAAGCCCAAAAAUUAUGGUUUUCACAUCACCAUGCCUGCAUAAUGAAUAACCACUAAACUGGCCGUGAACUCUGGCGCCCAAAAAGUUCACUGAAGAGCUCCAUGCCGAUGUAGUAGAUUUUUGACGUGAUUUCGCCCGCUUGCUUGCUCGUAUUGCAAACUCGCUCUUCGCUCGCUCUUGGCUCCUCAUCAUCAGGACGGCUCGACCGUUCAUCUAUCCAUCCACCCACUAUGCACUAUCCUACAUACGUAGAGGUCUCGUUUUUUUCUCGAAGGUAAACACCAUCUUGGUUCGGCGAGCACUUGCUGAACCAUUUCCGCCCCAGUGGCCUGCCAAUGAUUUCUCACUCACAUUCUCUCAAAUCCUCGGUGAAAUCCUCUAGCGGGCGUGGUCAGAGCAUUAGAGAAGUUCAACUCCAUAUCUAUCCAUCCUACCACCAUUGUUCAGGAAGAGUUUGGACAUUUCCAGUCGAAGCGAGCAAUUGUGACAAGCUGACAACCAACAUAUUGAGCACGACAUCAAACAACAGAUGAAACCUUAGAUAAAAGCUCAUGGGCAAGAGAGCUGUUAGCUACAUGUUGCAUGUAAACUGCCAGGGGACUCUCGUGAUCUCAAUGAAUGAUCUUUUAAAUGAACUCUCGUCACGACCAAAUUAAUAACUCCAUUGAGUGGCGUCACGAAGUCAAAAGUUAUUUUGUGAUAGACCCAUGGCCAAAAGGUACUCUUGUAGAGCGACGACCUAAUUAGUUAGCAAUUAGCCUAUUGGAUGCCUGAUAAGACGAUUGAAUAGAACGUGAAAAAAGCCUGCCAUUUGUCAGACGACUGCAAAGUGCAACAAAAGGCUCCAAGGGAGAAACGGAAGUCACUCGAAGGGAUCUGUCCUUUAAAUACCAAGCGAUUAAGCAUUCAAAAUUUGUAAGGAGCAUGGGCAUGAGCGACAAUAUUUCGAGGAAUAAUCAAUGUUCAUUAAAUGUAGCCAUAGACAGCUUUACCGAUGAACACGACUUCAUGCUUCUGUGUGGUAGGCGGAAAUCAUACACUAAGGCCUUAAUACGUACGUACUUAAAUCAAGUGGGAAAUAAGUGUAUGAUUUGACAAUUCGUUCCGAGCUCCUAAACUGGUCCAAACCCAAAAUGGUCCUUGAACUUGACAAGAACAGAGUCAAGGUCAACAAAACAAAAUUUACACAAGAAAAAGGUUCAAUUAUGAUUUACAAGCAUCUUCCAAGCAUCUAUGUUUUGUUCCUAUGCCUUCAGGGCCUACACGGGAAGAAAAAGCUGUCUUUUUGCGCUAGUAACAUCCAACAUCCUCCACUGAGUAUCCGAAAUAAUUUCCGCCUAUGUAAUAUAUCCUUGAUG
This is a long non-coding RNA of Tigriopus californicus, 2385 nucleotides long. RefSeq lists it as uncharacterized. Lineage: Eukaryota; Metazoa; Arthropoda; Copepoda; Harpacticoida; Harpacticidae. The transcript has 3 exons. The record is from RefSeq and is a predicted model, not a curated record.